CUCGCUCAGCAGAUAACUGGUAAAAAAAAAAACUUGCUGGAUCGUCAGCGUUUUCUCUCCAUGUCAGCGGCGAUAAGGAGGCAUCAGUGCUUCAGGGUUGAGGUGUCACCUGCUGAGGGAAACUCGCUCUGCUGUCACCUGCUGCCAGCCUUCCCCCAUCACCCCUCACCGGGUCGCCGUCUCCACCGGCAGGGGGGGGGGGGCAGAGCCCGUGGCUGAUGGUUUUAUCUCAGCAGGAAGUGGCCAAAGGGAGGCCUGGCUGCGGGACUCGGAACUGAUUGGUCGGAGCCGGAGUCGGCUUAGUGGCUGAUGAAGCCGAGCACGGCUGUUUCUAAAGUGCUUUUUACUGGGACGGAUACCUCCUCCUCCUGCCUGAGGUGAGAGACCUCCUCCUGCAUGAGGUGAGAGACCUCCUCCUGCCUGAGGUGAGAGACCUCCUCCUGCCUGAGGUGAGAGACCUCCUCCUGCCUGAGGUGAGUGACCUGCUACAUCGGGUACACUGUAAAAAAAGGAGAGGAGGAGACGGCGUCACGAACACCCAGGAGAGCUCACAGGCAGCGUGUGUUGACGCACACACACACUUCUAUGUAACAUGACGAGAGCAACUUGUUGCUUUUAACAUGCGACGGAGGUCAUUUCAACGUUUAAUUGAGUCCAGCUGACAGCUCUUCUCUUUGGGUUGAAAGUUCUGCUCAAACGAUUUGGCUUUAAUCACAAAGUCUGGACAAAAGUCAGAAACUGCCGAAGGGAAUUUAUUUAGUCUCCAAACUAAACUUCAAAAUGCAGAGAAACGUUUUAAAUGUUUAUUCAGCUUCUGUGUUCACGUCAGAAUAUCUGUCUGAAAUCUUUAAGCUGGUGUCUAAGUUUAAAUGGACACAUCUUCAGCAUUUUAACGUUAUAUUAUUGGAAUAGUUGUUAAAGAACUCUUGAAACUAAAGUUCUCAUGGCGAGACUCGAUUACAUGCAAAGACUCGCACACGAUGCCACCUGAUGCAAAUAUGCAUCAUAAAUAUGAUGAUUUUCCACCUCAGAAAGAAGACUUGCUCCUCCAGGAGUCUGUGACCUUACUGGACAGCUCAGCCUGCUAGCCGCCGGUUAGCUUCAACCUUGAAGACAUUUCAUGAGCUUCCUGAGGAAAACAUUGGGCACCAGGAGAAUGAAAUGUUUCUCGGGGUCACGGGGUCAGAGGUGAGCGUGGGCUGCAGGACACCGUCGGCCAGCUGCCGUCUUCCUUUUUAUCCGUUCACAAUUAUCACAUUUGGCAGCUGAGCAGCCGCUGUCUUUUGGCUCAUGUCGGCAGUUUUCCGUCAUUCGUCUUCUGCUCGGGAAGAGAGACUGAGGAGGAAACGAGACAGAGGACGUUGGAGUCAGGACGGGAAUCCAUCAGCAUGACGGGAAGAGGAGAAGGGGAACAAAAGCCAGCGAGCGCAAUUAUAACACGUUGAUAAUAUAAGUAUACUUCUGUUUCAUGCUUCUAGUUCAUUGUUUAUCCAGAAGACUUGACGCACUUUGUAGAACAAGUUGGCAUCAGUGGCAUUUUUUGUACAAUAUUUUUAUUUUAGAUAAAUGUGUAAAAUAUCACAUGAAAAAGUUGGCUAAAUAGAUUUCCAGUGUUCCUGCCAGCAGGUCCUGACUUACAAUGAGUUUGAGCUCCUUUUCAAUAAAACCUUGUAGGUAUUAAAAGAUAUAUUUUGAUACGAGGACGGAGAUGAAAAGUGAAUUUCUGAUUUCCAACACGAGGCUCAUCUGGACCUGUUGGCCGUCUGCAGGGCUCCAAGGUCCAGAACAAUCUGCCACAACAUGAGGAGCGUGGGCUGGAUUCUAAUCCCCCCUCUCCUUGAGCUGAGGUUGCCCCCCCCACUCAUGUGGCAGGGGGGGGGCAACCUCAGCCGGCGGGUCUCAUCCACAAUAUU
Molecule: long non-coding RNA, 1913 nt
Organism: Gasterosteus aculeatus aculeatus (three-spined stickleback)
Lineage: Eukaryota; Metazoa; Chordata; Actinopteri; Perciformes; Gasterosteidae
Source: Ensembl